AAUCCAUUCAUAUCUAGAUUCUAGAAUUUAGAUGUAGAUUAAGUGUGAAUAGGAAUUAGUUAAAAGUUCUUAGAUUAAUUAAUUAAUCUAGAUAGGCAGACAGGUCAAGUAGAUUAAGAUAGAUUAUAUUUGAUAUCUAUUAAUUCGCUAACUGGAAGUGGAACUUUUUCUACUUUGAAUUUUUCAAAAGCCGAUAACUUGAGUACUAUUUCAGAUAGAUAAAUGAAAUUUCACAUGAUCAACAAAUACAAUUUUAUUUUCAAAAUGGCUGGGGACUUUGUGCCUGAAUCAGAACUUAAUCUUAAAGGAUGGCAGAAGCAUUUCAAUAGCUACACAUUGAGAGGGAGAUUCAAUUGGGUUGCAGCAACAUAUGGGUCAUUAUUUGGAGGCUUUAUACUGUACAAGUUACUGAAGAAGAAACCUCAAUUGACAGAUCACUAGUUUCUUCACAACAAAUUCUAGUUUUAGUUACUGUGAGCAAAAUAAUAUUGUAUGAGCAUUAAAAAAUGGUAAUAAAAAUUUGAAAUACAACUUUUAAAAUGUAUUUUAUAAUUCAAUUAUUAUACUAAUACCACAUAAAUUUAUUGAAAACAAGUUACAUGAUUAUAAUUAUAGUUAAAGCACAACAUAGAAAUACAUAUGGCACUAUCGCCCCUCCCUGUAACUGAUUUCACAUUAAUUUUACCUCACUUUAAUUCAGAAACAACAGAUUUCACUUAUUUUAAAAAUCAGUGUUUAAAGUAAAAACUGAUUUCAACAAGUUUUACAUUUGGAAUAAAAAUUUAUUUUUUACU
Physella acuta is the source of this 794-nucleotide RNA transcript. It is a transcript of the gene named ATP synthase membrane subunit K, mitochondrial, with no coding region annotated. NCBI's taxonomy places the organism in Eukaryota, Metazoa, Mollusca, Gastropoda, Physidae. The record is from RefSeq and is a predicted model, not a curated record.